GAUGAAGAACGUAGCGAAAUGCGAUAAGUAAUGUGAAUUGCAGAAUUCAGUGAAUCAUCGAAUCUUUGAACGCACCUUGCGCUCCCUGGUAUUCCGGGGAGCACGCCUGUUCGAGUGUCGCGAUAUUCUUCAAGCCUUGGAUGGAUUUUUUUUUUGUCUGUCCUUGGGCUUGGUGGUUGGGCUCUGCCGUGUCCUUCAUUGGGACGGCUGGCCUUAAAAGCAUUAGCCGAUCCUCGUGUGGUACUGGUUCUACUCAGCGUGAUAACAAUCUGAUCGUUGAGGACAUCUUCUGGAUGGCCAGUCAUCAUUUGGGUUGCUUCUAAACCGGUUUCGCAGAUUGCUCAAUCUGUGUGCCACUUUUCAGCUUUGACCUCGAAUCAGGUGGGACUACCCGCUGAACUUAAGCAUAUCAAUAAGCGGAGGA
This 424-nucleotide unclassified non-coding RNA is filed under the name soil metagenome. Its description in RNAcentral is "partial contains 5.8S ribosomal RNA, internal transcribed spacer 2, and large subunit ribosomal RNA". The stretch from base 1 to 120 matches the Rfam family "5.8S ribosomal RNA", at positions 35 to 154 of the family's 154-position model. The record is from RNAcentral.